Long non-coding RNA from Onychomys torridus (southern grasshopper mouse), 2186 nucleotides. RefSeq lists it as uncharacterized. The transcript has 3 exons. The record is from RefSeq and is a predicted model, not a curated record. Lineage: Eukaryota; Metazoa; Chordata; Mammalia; Rodentia; Cricetidae.
GAGCCUGUGGUCACCUAAGGCUUCAAGAAUCAAAUGGAAGUUUCCAGACAGAAAUAAUUCACAAGUCCUGCUUUUCUUCCUGCUGUACGGAGCAUCUGGACAAAGUCUCUCACUGGCGUCUGCUCAGUGCAGCCCGAGCUUAAAAAAAUUGACUGUGACAUUUCAUCCUUAUGGGAAGAGCCUGCCAGAAGUCUUCCUGGACAGAUGAGGGUCUCAAGGGUGUGGAGUGGACUCAAGGAAACAAAUCGAGUGGCCAAAGUCCUUUGGGGGAGAGUCUGUGGUCUGAUCACCUUCUGGGCUUUGUUUGCAAAAGGGACAGAAGAGGCACAGCAGGCUCAGUUCAUCCUCAGGACUCCCUGACAUGGUGCUGGAAACUGGGGCAGCCUUUCCCAACCAAUCGUCCAACAAAGAUGAGAGAAACGUCAAGAAGUUUCAAGAAGAUUUCAGCCUGGUGGUGGUGUUGUUAGCCUGCUAUUAAAUCUAGCGGCUGCUCACCUCCAGCAUUGCUGUGAUGUGUUAAAAGCACCGUAAAUUAGAUUUUCUGCUAAUCGAAGCUGGAGGCACUCCUGACACUUUUUUUUUUCUUCAGAUGUCUAUCUGGCUCUGUGACUGGUGUGGGCUGCUCUGAGUUCUCACACUAGGUUGUCCUAUAUCUAUUAUAGCUGUCAACUGUUUAUUUCUCUCUCUCCUGUAAAAUGCUUGAAGACUUGGCUUGUGCUUAAUACAUGCUUGUACCUUACCAACCACUUACAGGUAGAGAGAUAGUCCACAGCAAUUGUUUUACAAAUUAAUAAACACUUGUAGCAAAUGCAUUUCCUAAGUAAGUUAAGUAGAAAGGAGAGUCAGGACCAUCUCCCCAACUGCCACCUGUCUAGGCACACUGUCCCCUGUGAGGUUUGCCCCCUAAGACCCUUCCUUUUGCAAGGGAAGAAACCACUUCCACGAGCCCUGGGGCAAAACAGUCCAGCUUCUCUCUCAAGAGCUCACAGGCCGUUGUCUCCAGUGGUCCAAGGAGGUCUGAGCUUUCUUCGUCUGUGAUUUGAGCCUUGCUUCCUAGGUUUGCUGAGGAUCCAUCCUCCAGCUCAUCAGUUUGAAAGAACUCAGUUUACAUGUGCUGCUGUGUAGAGGUCUGAACACUCAGGGCUUGGUUUUCUGCUGUCCACAUUUAAGUGGGUUCCAGGGCUUGAACACAGGGUAGCAGGCUUUCAAAGCAAGUGCCUUUACCCACUGAACCAUCUUCCAGACAGAAAUUUAUCUAUUUAAUCCAUAGUAACUCUGAGCUAAGACCUCCUAAAGGGGACACACAGAUGCAGUCUUACUCAAGGGAUUGUUUUCUUGUGUUCUGUGUCCCUGCAAGUGACCUGGAGGAGGGAGAUGAUAUAAGGGACCGACCCUGGCAGUUCUAAGAGCAUGGUGACAUUCCUCCUUCCUCCCUCAGAGAAAAGAAGAACAGACAUUUUAAAAUAAGUCCCUCCAGGGGCUUGCCAUUGUCUCUGUGCCUGAGCUACGGAGACAAUCACCCAGGCAGAAUCAGCCCACCUAUUUUAUGAUAACCUACAUUUACCGUGGAAAAUCCCAUCUGUGACCCUCUGGGUGGAAAAUCUCCUGCCACAGAAUCAAGACAUGUUCAAGUCUUCAUCCGGGGCAUGCAAAAACUGUAAGUAUUUCUGCAGUUUCUGGCCUGGUAAAUGUGUCAUGCAGUUUAUUUCUCACAAAGUGACACAUAAAACACGUAAUUCAAUUUAACAACAAACUUUGGCUUCUAGUUACUUGCUGGUGUAUGACUUCAGCAGGUUUGCUGGAGUUGGCUGUGGGUGUUUGUGAAGCGGGCUGGAUGAAUUAACAGUGCUUGUGUAUAGAGAAUUAAGUGUUACCUGGCUUCUUUGCUGCUCCAGCGCUCUGUGUAAGUCCCAGUGGCAAACCUACUCUCCACAAACUAUUCCUAGCAGAAUACCCUUCCUGGGCCACAUUCUAGAAAGAACUUAAAACAGAUGAAGACUAAACACACGUUUUGGAUUUUGGCCUUCACUAUUUUGUGGCAUGGUUUCAAGCUCCUCUUUCCAAAACAGAAAGUUUUUCUGCAAGGAAAUGCUUCCUUCUGAGAAGGGUGGUGGUGCCACAUGCAUUUAAUCUCAGCCAUCGGGAGGCAGAAACGGGUGGAUCUCUGGGAGUUCGAGGCCAGCCUG